RNAcentral lists this unclassified non-coding RNA (333 nucleotides) under Hevea brasiliensis (rubber tree). Lineage: Eukaryota; Viridiplantae; Streptophyta; Magnoliopsida; Malpighiales; Euphorbiaceae. The record is from RNAcentral.
ACCGCUACCACCAACGUACACGUUUGCUGCCUCCAAACAGCCACGUCCAGAAUGAACUGUCAAACCCAGAAUGCUCUUCCUCUUUCAUGGUUAUUAAGCCCACUCUCUUUUUGUCAUUACCGAAUGCAGUUCACCUCCAUCUCCGCACUGCUACUCUGCUGCCACAGACAUGGAUGUUUCUUUACCAGAAGCCACAUAUCCUGCUGUGACCCGAAAUUCAGAAGAAACUUUAUCAUCUCGUCCAUUUAAUCUCCAAAAACUUCCCCAUUUAACAGACUACUUACCAGACCUCAAAUCUUACACCAACCCAUUAGAUAACAACCCUUUCUACCA